GAGACCCUGCCUCCUUGCAACCUGAGGCCAUGGAGGAGAAUGGAACUAUUUCUGCUCUCUCAACACCUUGUGACCCUGAAACUUCACACCCUACUGUGGCUUCAGAAGCCCCUCUACCUCCUGGGCUGUUUCCCCCGCCUUCUGUAUCAUCUCUUCCACUGUACACCGCAAAGGUGUACUGUCCACCAGUGUACACAGGGCCUGGAACUGCAACACCAACCACAGUCUCAAAAUC
Melanotaenia boesemani (Boeseman's rainbowfish) is the source of this 235-nucleotide long non-coding RNA. RefSeq lists it as uncharacterized. The record is from RefSeq and is a predicted model, not a curated record. The transcript is spliced from 3 exons. Lineage: Eukaryota; Metazoa; Chordata; Actinopteri; Atheriniformes; Melanotaeniidae.